AGCGAGAAACUAACAAGAGUAUCAACAGAAUCUUCUAGAGUUUCCUUCUCAUCAUCAUGUUCAUCAUCUUCCCCAUUGUCUUCUGAUCUCAACAAAGAAACUCAACCUGAGAUUUCACCGUAUGACCACCGGGUCAUUUUUCAAGAAUCUCCAGCUAUGAGCCAAGGAAGCGGGUUGGGACUUGACCUUAGAGAUGUUGUUAGAGACUCUAUGUACAGAGAAGCUAGAGGGCUUUCUGAAGUAUCCAGACACAACAAGAGAAGAGAUGAUUCUCCAAGACCACCACCCUAUGGUUUGAAGCAAUCCACUCCUGUAGAUUUCAAUGAAUCCUGCAAAGCUCUAGCCAAACUCAACACUUCUCAGUAUUAUUACAAUGAGGUUGACUUGAAAGAUGCGUCUCGUUACUACGUUGAUUCUCACAAGAAGAAGUCUAAAUCCAAGAAGAAGGUGAAAGAGUCUCCUAAGCUUUCUUUGGACAGUAGAGACCACCUUGAUCUCAAUUCAGGUAAUAACAAUAAGCUUGUUGAGAGUUUCAGUAGAAGCUCUAGCGUGAACAAACGGCCUCCUAGUGUUGUUGCAAAGCUAAUGGGAUUGGAGACGUUACCUGGUUCUCCACUGAGAAGAGACAAACUCAACAGUGAUCCGUUCUCAAGGUCAUUGAGGGAGAAUGGCAUGAACCGGACUAUCCGGUUAUCUCCUAGCUCACCAAGGAAGGACCUUGCUUCUACUUCUUCUUCAUCUUCACCAAGAUGGAGAAGCUCUGAGUUUGUAAUGAAACCUUUAUCAAGUUUGAGGUUUCCCAUUGAACCAGCUCCAUGGAAGAAGCAACAGAAGCAAGCCUGCAGGCCUGUGAAAGCUCUGUUGAAAGAUCUAGAGCUUAAGCAUCCGGUUAAGGAUCUGAGAGCUAUUAAUGAGAUAGUAGAGGCAAUGCAAACGAAAAGCAUCAAGCAGCAAGAAUGCUCAAACUCAAGAGGCUUGGAAAGCCAUGUGAUGCCAUCAUCCACUAUGAGAGGAGGACCAAUUGUGAUAAUGAAACCUGCUAGACUUGUUGAGAGAUCUUGUGUUCCUUCAUCAUCUCUGAUUCCCAUUCACAGUCUUAAUAGAGAAGAAGAGUCUGUGAAUGUUAAAAGAAACUCAACUAGUAAAAAGGCAGCAAAAGAUAACAGAAACGUCACUACAAAGAAUGGAGGAGCUGCUAGUCCAAGAUUGAAUCAUAUGAAGAAGCAUGACAAUGAGAAGCGUUCUCGCCCACCACCUAUACCAUCUGAUUCAAGCAAAUCAAGAAGACAAACAGACAAAGAAUCUGUUACUUCUCCUGGUGGUAGGCGUAGUAGACAAGGUGGUAGAAAGAGUCAAACUGUAAUAGAGACAGCAAAAACAGUAGUCUCUAACUUAAUGCAGAACGCUAGUCCAAAGUCUAGUGGAGAUGGGUCAUCGGAACAUCCAAGUCCAGUGUCUGUUCUCAACGCAUCAAUCUACAGAGACAUCAAACCAUCUCAAGCUAGUGAAGGCACCAAGACUGAUGAAGAAGACGAGUGGAAUCCAGCUUACAGCUUCUCAAAGACAACAACCACCUUGUCUCCAGAGGUAAACAGAAAGAAGCUUCAGAACGUGGAGCAUUUGGUUCAGAAGCUGAAAAGAUUAAACUCUAGCCAUGACGAAGCAAGCCAAGACUACGUUGCAUCGCUAUGCGAGAACAGUGGUGCUGACACUGAUCACAGAUACAUAUCCGAGAUUCUGUUAGCCUCUGGUCUUCUCCUGAGAGACUUAGCCUCAGAGUCAACUACGUUUCAGCUCCACUCUUCAGGUCAUCCUAUUAACCCUGAGCUGUUUCUCGUUCUUGAGCAAACUAAAGGAAGCAGUGGUGGCGGCAAUGAGAAGAAGCUCAACCGCAAGGUUGUGUUCGACGCUGUUAAUGAGAUGCUUGUGAAGAAGUUAGCUAUUGUUGAUGUAGAGCCAUGGCUGAAGCGAGGUAAAGGGAUGAAGAGGAGGGUGUUUAGUGCGCAACAACUCUUGAAAGAGCUGUGUUCAGAGAUAGAAACAAUGCAAAAGGAAGCCAAGAGGAGAUCAGAUAACUUGUUCUUGUUGGGGGAACAAGAAGAGGACUUCUUGAAAUGUAUAUUGGAUGAAGAUAUGGAGAUGCGGUCUGAGAAAUGGACGGAGUUUGAUGAUGUAGUCCCGGGUAUAGUGCUUCACUUGGAGAGGCUUCUCUUCAAGGACCUGGUGAGUGAGGUCGUGCAUGGUGAGAUUGAUCGGCUGCAACCUACUCCAAGCAGACGAGUAGUUAUUACUGAUUCAUAAACUCGUUUUUUAUAUUCUCUGUACUCUAAAGCCGUAUAUAAAUAAUAAUACAAGUCAAAAGUCAUGUAACCAUUCUCUGCAUGUUUGUUCUCUUUUCUUUCUCUUCGAUGUUUGGUGAUAAAUAAAUAUUGUGCUCGUUAUAUCAGCUAGAUAUGAAUAAUGUGUUACUUAUCACUAUGUAGUGGUUCAAACUUGAACAUAGGCCUGCCUGCUUGUGCUGCAACAGCUUCACGAAGUUGACGUGCCUACGUACCAAGUGAACUAGCUUAGUUAGUUGCUCAUUGGAGACUUCUUUGUUAUCUUGUAGAUUUCCAGUGAAUAUAAAGUUUACUUCGAGAUCAGUUGCUCCAUCUCCACUCCAAUCAUGGCCAUAGUUUUGUAGAGACAGACCCUGAAAAGAACCAAAUCUCAUUGGUACAUUGUGUUUUCUUCAACAAGAGAUAAAAAAAAAGUUUGAUGAAGCUUUCGUAUUUGUUGCAAAGAUUGAGAAGGUUUUGAAGAAGAGCUAUGAGUACAGAGAGCAUUGUAUUUGCACAAUUACAUAAUUUUCUUCCUUUAAGUUUUUUAUAGUAACAAGUGUUUCAAAUAAACUACAUACAAACUUUGAACACUGAGUUACUGCCAAACACUAUAUACCUCGAAAGAUAACUAACUUUGGUCUCUCACACAAAGAUUUUCAUUCAGGCAGGGACUUUGAUGUUUCGAGAAGGAACUUUUCUUUGAAGUCGAGCAUUUUGUUCAGAGCUUCUAUAUAAGCCUCGAGCCCCGACACUACAACGUUCAUUCUCGCUCCGGUUCCACUACCAAAGACAUAGAGAUGAAAAAUCAAACUAGGCAAUAUGAUUAUCUUUGUCUAGUUCAAAUGAGAAGAUUUUUACCUGAAGUUUCUUUGAACUUCUUCACCAGUUAGAGCGUUUCCACGGACAAGAACUCGUGUGGUUGCAAUGGCAUCAGUGCCUUCUGUUGCUGUAUCCAUUGAGUACUCAAGCAAAGUCGUCGGUUCCUUAACAAUAAGAUCAACUGCCUUAAAAGCUGAUUUGACAGGGCAAGUUCCCCUAGAACAAGCGCAAUGCUCUUUGCCAUCAGCAUCAGCAAGUGUCACAGUUGCUGUUGAAAACUCAAUAGUCGCACAAAUUAUCUGCAUCCCACUUUCAUUAAAAAUGAGACAACUAACAUGACAACAGAGGUCAAUAAAAACUAUCUUAAUCACAGUUUCACCUGAAUGUCCAGGAGUUUCCACACGGCUUCUGGCUGGAACACCUCGUCAGAUACCAAAGCUAUUCUCUCAGUCUGAUUAUUAAACUAACCACUUAAAUUUGAACUGCCUUACUUUUUUAAACUCGAAACAGAACCAGACGUAAUCUCAUAUUGUGUGUUUCCAUAUCCGUGAUCUGUUUAAAAUCGUUACAUAUAAUCAAUAUGCAUUAAUAAUACCGAAAUCAGUUUAAUGAUAAUCAUUUUAGAUAUGAAAACAUUAUCAAUCCCAAAAUCUCUAUUGAAACUAAUUCACAAAGUUGUUUCCGUAUAUAGCUCUUGCAAUCUUAACAAUGGAAUAUAUUGCUACAAGUUCUUAAUUUCCAAUCCUGCCUCCCAAAAUAUUCCUUGAAAUCGACUAUAGCAAGCAUCAGUAGUUAGUUUCCAUAUUCUGCGCUUGAGAUUUUAACAAAUAACUAGGAUUUGAUGAUUAGCAUAUAUAUUUAUACGAUACGGUUUAGUUUAAAAAACAGAAAUAAGAAUAUCGUAUUUGCACAAUUACAUAAUUUUCUUCCUUUAAGUUUUUUAUAGUAACAAGUGUUUCAAAUAAACUACAUACAAACUUUGAACACUGAGUUACUGCCAAACACUAUAUACCUCGAAAGAUAACUAACUUUGGUCUCUCACACAAAGAUUUUCAUUCAGGCAGGGACUUUGAUGUUUCGAGAAGGAACUUUUCUUUGAAGUCGAGCAUUUUGUUCAGAGCUUCUAUAUAAGCCUCGAGCCCCGACACUACAACGUUCAUUCUCGCUCCGGUUCCACUACCAAAGACAUAGAGAUGAAAAAUCAAACUAGGCAAUAUGAUUAUCUUUGUCUAGUUCAAAUGAGAAGAUUUUUACCUGAAGUUUCUUUGAACUUCUUCACCAGUUAGAGCGUUUCCACGGACAAGAACUCGUGUGGUUGCAAUGGCAUCAGUGCCUUCUGUUGCUGUAUCCAUUGAGUACUCAAGCAAAGUCGUCGGUUCCUUAACAAUAAGAUCAACUGCCUUAAAAGCUGAUUUGACAGGGCAAGUUCCCCUAGAACUAGCGCCAUGCUCUUUGCCAUCAGCAUCAGCAAGUGUCACAGUUUCUGUUGAAAGCUCCAUAGUCGCACAAAUUAUCUGCAUCCCACUUUCAUUAAAAAUGAGACAACUAACAUGACAACAGAGCUCAAUAAAAACUAUCUUAAUCAUAGUUUCACCUGAAUGUCCAGGAGUUUCCACACGGCUUCUGGCUGGAACACCUCGUCAGAUACCAAAGCUAUUCUCUCCGCGUCCGUAACGCUCUGGAAGAAAACAUAAACGAUCGGUUGGAAUUGAAAACACUUAGACAUCUGAAUAAAUAAUGUGAUAUUAGGAGUAAAGUAAAAAUACGAGAAGACAUUAGUGUCUCCCUCCCACAAAGAUGGUAACAUUGAGUAUGUUUGGGUGAGAUUGAUGUGUACCUCAGUCAAACUGUCUUUCAACGCAAGAUGCCCAUCAGAUUUCCUCUGUUCCUGGCUUGUCAGUUGCUUCACAGUCCUAAGAUGGACAAAACACAAUGAAAACUUUGGGAUUUUGAAACCAUCCUUUUGUAUAACUACGAGAGCAAUUUACCAUUGUUUGAGAUUUUGAAGGUAGCUCAGCGCAUUAGCCACAAUUAAUGGGAAAAGUGAAAGCCCCAGUAACUGAAUCACCACACAAAAGAUCUUCUCUAGAAAAUCUUCACCUGGGUCUAGGUUUCCAGCUAGAGUGCUGAUUUGCUAGAUCUUCUCUAGAAAACAUUCAUCUGGGUCUAGUGAAUGUGGAGAACAUUCAGAUAUUUGUAGAGGAAUAUCUAAUUGAUCUGUCUCCAAUAAACGAGAUGCACAAAUUAUGGACUUCUUAACUCUUGGGUCAUCAAUUCACAUAAACAUAAGUAAAUUAAUCCAGAGGAUUUUUGACUGAGUAAGUCCUCACUUUUUGAUUGCUCCUUGAGAGCUUACACAAAGUAGUAAGUGUUCAAUGUUCAUGCACACAUAGGUUAAUUUAGUUCUUGAGAAAACUUUACUUUACUAGUUAAAUGUUAUCUUGAGAAAUGGACUUCACCUCACCAAAUUAACAAGUCUUAAUAUUCCUAUUGAUCUCUUGUGUUUCAAGUUUCAACAAAGACUAUACUCUCUUCAAAUAAGUUUAGCUUUAUAUUGGUUGUUAAGGCUCUAACUUGCAACCUUGAAAAUGAAGCAAUGGUACAAUGGUAAUGCGUUUUAACAUCCCUACCCCUAACUACUAAAGCAUGUUUUUCCGUUUACUAAUUUCAGUGUAGCAUGUGAAUCUGUUCUAACUUAAAACUAAUUUGAUUAUUGAAUAUAAUUUUUUCCUGUGCUUUUCAUCUAAUUCAGGGAGAGAAAAAACCAUAUUACAUUUCACCAAGUGUAUAGAUUGAAAAAAAGAUACAAUUAUAAAUAAUAAUUUAGAAAUGAGGAAGCAAAGAAGAUAAUAUUGUGGAUAUUUUUAAGUUGGUCACGAGAAGACAGGAGUCACAUGCAGAGGGAGACAUCUCAAAAACAGAGGGUUUAACAAACCACAUCCACUUGCCACAGCCCCCUCACUUCCUCUCACUAAUCUCACCUCAUUUCUAUUCUAUUACUCAUCAGAAACACACAUAGACAAUGUUCUGUUUUGUACUGUGAGCAGAAAGAGAGAGUAGAAAACAAAGGAACAUUUGGCAGAGUAUUUCUUUUGUUCCCUCUGCUUGGCCUUAUCUGUUUCUCCGUAUCUGAAAGUUUCUGUCUUUUUUUUCUUGGAUUUGUGAGGUUUAUCAGUGACAUUUCCCUGAAUUAUUUUCUUCUGAAGGAUUCCUUCCUACACAAGGACUCUCGUUUGUUCUGUAACAAACAGAGCUUUUUUUUUUUUUUGUUAGUGCGAGAUAACUCAGGAAAAGGGUUCGUCUCUUUUCUCGCCUCCGGUGAGAUUUGGGAAUCUAUCUAAAAUUUUGAACUUCUGCUACAAGUAGAAACAAAAAUGCUAAUUUUCUUCUUCUCUAUUUUUUUUUUUUUUUUUUUUUUUUUUCUUUUGAUUGGAGGUGACAUAGUGGAGAAGGUGGGUUUAAUAGAUGUGUUUUUUUUUUUGUCGUUGAUAGGGAGGGAAUAUAUAAGCAGCUGUAAUUAGCUGGAGGGCAAUGGCGUUCUCACAUUGAGCUUUGCCUAAGGCCAAUUUUAUUGGAAUCUAAAUUGAUAAAAAAUCUCAGCUUUUUUUGGAACUAUAUGAUAACAUGGAAAGUGGGUCAUUCUCGUUAUGGUGGUUGCUUGUUGAUGGAUAUUUAACGAAAGCUUGAAGUUAUUCCAAAACUAGUGUUUACUGGAAACAACAAGGAGAGUAUAUAAUACUGUAAAGUUUCAGAGCCAAGAAGAUAACAAAGAGUUAGUAUUCAUGGCUGCGAAGCUUUUGCAUACAUUGGCAGAUGAAAACUCGGAUCUACAGAAGAAAAUUGGAUGUAUGAAUGGGAUUUUCCAACUCUUUGAUCGUCACCAUGUUCUCACAAACCGGCGAAAAAGUCUUACUUUAGGUAAUCAUAUAACACUGUAACAUAUAAAUAAAUACUUGUGAUUUAGAUCGUGUCUCUUAGUGGUUGACUUGUACAUGGCCAUAUGUUCUUAGCUAUAUGAUGUCCUUUUCCAUGUUCUUAAGUUUUAUUUCUUCUUCAUGAACUAAAUGGUCUUGUCUGAUUCUUCUGUAAGGGCUAAAAGGUUUGUGUCAUAUCUUCAGACAAAGUUGCUCUAGUUUGUGAAAUGCAUGUUUGUUUUGUUAGAUUAGAUUUGUAUUUUGUGUGGCUUUUGCUUGGUAGAUUUUGACUUCUCUGAACCUUAGACUCUUCAAGUUUCUUAAAUCUGUAAUGCUUAUGGUUUAUAAGCAAAGAGAAUUGGAUAUGAUCCUAUAACUCUUUUGAUCUCAUGUGUUGUUGUUCUUGCAGGUAAUAUCAACUUUGAAAGAGACUCUGCAUUGCAGAUUCAAGACUCCAACAUUAUCAACAUCGGAAAUGAGACAAGCGAGAAACUAAGAAGGGUAUCAACCGAAUCUUCCAGAGUUUCCUUCUCAUCCUCAUGUUCAUCAUCUUCCCCACUGUCUUCUGAUCCCAACAAAGAAACUCAACCUGAGAUUUCACCGUAUGACCACCGGGUCAUUUUUCAAGAAUCUCCAGCGAUGAGCCAAGGAAGCGGGUUGGGACUUGACCUUAGAGAUGUUGUUAGAGACUCCAUGUACAGAGAAGCUAGAGGACUUUCCGAAGUAUCCAGAC
This 7787-nucleotide long non-coding RNA is filed under the name Brassica napus (rape). Its description in RNAcentral is "long non-coding RNA (BNAP_LNC018276)". The record is from RNAcentral. Lineage: Eukaryota; Viridiplantae; Streptophyta; Magnoliopsida; Brassicales; Brassicaceae.